UAAUACGGAGGGGGUUAGCGUUGUUCGGAAUUACUGGGCGUAAAGCGCACGUAGGCGGAUUGGAAAGUAUGGGGUGAAAUCCCAGGGCUCAACCCUGGAACGGCCUCAUAAACUCCCAGUCUGGAGUUCGAGAGAGGUGAGUGGAAUUCCGAGUGUAGAGGUGAAAUUCGUAGAUAUUCGGAGGAACACCAGUGGCGAAGGCGGCUCACUGGCUCGAUACUGACGCUGAGGUGCGAAAGUGUGGGGAGCAAACAGGAUUAGAUACCCUGGUAGUCCACACCGUAAACGAUGAAUGCCAGUCGUCGGCAAGCAUGCUUGUCGGUGACACACCUAACGGAUUAAGCAUUCCGCCUGGGGAGUACGGUCGCAAGAUUA
RNAcentral lists this ribosomal RNA (375 nucleotides) under enrichment culture. RNAcentral's name for it is "bacterial SSU rRNA". It matches the Rfam family "Bacterial small subunit ribosomal RNA", at positions 521 to 896 of the family's 1533-position model. The record is from RNAcentral.